This 465-nucleotide ribosomal RNA is filed under the name uncultured bacterium. RNAcentral describes it as "SSU rRNA". It matches the Rfam family "Bacterial small subunit ribosomal RNA", at positions 26 to 518 of the family's 1533-position model. The record is from RNAcentral.
AGGAUUAACGCUGGCGGCGUGCCUAACACAUGCAAGUCGAACGAGGUAGCAAUACCUAGUGGCAGACGGGUGAGUAACGCGUGGUCAACCUACCGUUGAGUGGGGGAUAACUAGCCGAAAGGUUAGCUAAUACCGCAUACGAGUCUCGGGGGCAUCCCUGGGCCUUAAAAGGAGCAAUCCGCUCGAUGACGGGACCGCGUCCCAUUAGCUAGAUGGUGGGGUAACGGCCUACCAUGGCACCGAUGGGUAGCUGGUUUGAGAGAGCGACCAGCCACACUGGGACUGAGAAACGGCCCAGACUCCUACGGGAGGCAGCAGUGAGGAAUUUUCCGCAAUGGGCGAAAGCCUGACGGAGCGACGCCGCGUGUGGGAAGAAGGCCUUCGGGUCGUAAACCACUGUCGAAGGGGACGAGUAAUGACGGUACCCUUGGAGGAAGCCCGGCUAACGUACGCGCCAGCAGCCGC